AUUGAACGCUGGCGGCAGGCCUAACACAUGCAAGUCGAGCGGAUGAAGGGAGCUUGCUCCUGGAUUCAGCGGCGGACGGGUGAGUAAUGCCUAGGAAUCUGCCUGGUAGUGGGGGAUAACGUCCGGAAACGGGCGCUAAUACCGCAUACGUCCUGAGGGAGAAAGUGGGGGAUCUUCGGACCUUACGCUAUCAGAUGAGCCUAGGUCGGAUUAGCUAGUUGGUGGGGUAAAGGCCUACCAAGGCGACGAUCCGUAACUGGUCUGAGAGGAUGAUCAGUCACACUGGAACUGAGACACGGUCCAGACUCCUACGGGAGGCAGCAGUGGGGAAUAUUGGAUAAUGGGCGAAAGCCUGAUCCAGCCAUGCCGCGUGUGUGAAGAAGGUCUUCGGAUUGUAAAGCACUUUAAGUUGGGAGGAAGGGCAGUAAGUUAAUACCUUGCUGUUUUGACGUUACCAACAGAAUAAGCACCGGCUAACUUCGUG
RNAcentral lists this ribosomal RNA (484 nucleotides) under uncultured bacterium. Its description in RNAcentral is "partial 16S ribosomal RNA". It matches the Rfam family "Bacterial small subunit ribosomal RNA", at positions 30 to 507 of the family's 1533-position model. The record is from RNAcentral.